RNAcentral lists this transfer RNA (67 nucleotides) under Chaetopterus variopedatus. RNAcentral's name for it is "tRNA-Gly". Lineage: Eukaryota; Metazoa; Annelida; Polychaeta; Chaetopteridae. The record is from RNAcentral.
ACCUUUUUAGUAUACAUAUAGUACAACCUCCUUCCAAGUGGUAAGUUUAACAAAAUUAAAAAAGGUA